GAAACGGUGGCAGUUCCUUUUAAAGCGUCUUGAAAAAUAAAUAACCGCAUCAAACAGCCAUCUCGCGGACUGGUGGGGGUCAGCGUUACGCUCAGCUGGACACCUGUCGCAGUUUGCUUACGUCAUUCUUGCGACUUGUUCGCCAUAGAGAUAGAAAUCUGACAGAGAGAGAAAGAAGCAUCUUUUCUUUGAAAGCAAUUGGCAAAGAGGUUUUGUUUUUUGUUACUGAGCCUUCAUGUAUGUUAAGAGGUUGGCUUGUUGACCAGGUUGGUACUUCGAGACCCAAGUACCAUGUGAUUGGGCACCAAAUCCAAGACAGAAAAGUUUGAGAACACUCCUUUUAUACCACACUGAGUCUAAGAAAACUUUCUGGAAUUUAGGGAAGUGUAUAGACUCCCAGUGAUGAUAAGCACGGAUGAUGUUUACUGAGUUUGGGUAAUGAAACAUCUAUAAGAAAACAAACAAGUUCAGGGAGCACCAAGGACCCCUCUGACGCCCACUCACAUAAUUUUUUAACUACUGUCUUGUUCAUUGUGAUCAGAAUUAGUCAAUUUGGUUGUUUCAAAUAUAUCACAUUCAUAUGGUAGAAUGAUUUGGGGGUUGUUUGAGUACAGGGAAGCAAAUACAACAUAGGAAUUGUUGUAUUCCUACACUAAGCCAUAAUGGCUGGAGCUACUUUUUAUGCUACAGUAGAUAAUUGACACAUUUUCUCAACCCCCAACAUUGUAGUUUGCAAUCUGUUUAUGUCUUAGCAGGAUAUAUGAAAUUUUGAAUAAUUUAUUAACCCUGUUAAAUAUGAUAUUCAGACUUUGAUUUUUAAACUUGAUAGGUCUCACACAAAAUUUACUUAUAAUUUCCAUUUCAAUAAAAAGCCACCUCCUAUAAAACUUCCCAAAAUAAAUUGAGAACAUUCCGAAUGGAAAUAAUUAUUUGAAUAUUUAGCAUUGCAGCUGCAUUUCUAAAUCCACAAGAAAUGAUAAGCAUAGGAGCUGCAUGUUUCUGAUAAGGAACUAAGAAAUAAUGCUGACAUUUAGGUAUAAGGGCUUAGACUUUAGAAUGAGCAUUUCAUCAAUAUGAAUGAGACAGCUCAUACUUUGCAGCAUUAUUUUUGCAAAUCUGGCUGGCUGAAGAUAACACUGCACUCAACACUGGGAAGGUUAUCACUGAAUUCAGAGAAAGAUAGCACUAUAUGUAUUCUGAAGAAACAUUCUAUAGAAAGACAACUAAAAAUGAAAAAGAGCACAGUACACCUGGAAAUACAAAAGACUUAUUUCCUGGUGUGCUAGAUUUUUCUGGAACAGUGGUUAAAAAGACAUUUUCUGUGUGUGGGAAGUCAACUUUCUGAUAUAUCCCAGUUUCUUAAAGAAUCAAGACCACUAUUAGUAGUGUCAUACAAUGUAAAAGCUCACAGAAUAAGCAAGGAACUAAUAUCAAAACACAUUGCUGCAAUUUCUUCCAAAAUAGAAAAAUUAAAUGUAGUUAACUUUUCCUUCCAGUGCUCUCAGUGGAUAGUGAGAAAUUUUUUGCUUGCUCAAGAGAACUUUUCAGUCCCCUCUUCUUUGCAGCCCUGUGGAUCUAAUCCCAGAUACAAAUAGUUCUAGAUGGUUUUACCAAAAUGGAGGCACUUAAUGAAACACGAAUCCAUUCUGCAAGUGAUUUCUGCCUGAUGAAAAGCAGCAGUAAAUGUGUCACACGUCAAUGA
Molecule: long non-coding RNA, 1702 nt
Organism: Pantherophis guttatus
Lineage: Eukaryota; Metazoa; Chordata; Lepidosauria; Squamata; Colubridae
Source: RefSeq, a predicted model, not a curated record